Prunus avium (sweet cherry) is the source of this 156-nucleotide non-coding RNA. NCBI's taxonomy places the organism in Eukaryota, Viridiplantae, Streptophyta, Magnoliopsida, Rosales, Rosaceae. The record is from RefSeq and is a predicted model, not a curated record.
AGGAAACUUGUAAAGUUUUGUUGAAUUCUUAUCUGAAAUAAAGGUUAAUUCACAUUGAUGUCUGGUGGCAGAGUGUUCAGCAAAUUGGAAGCAGAGCUGACCGUAUGAAGAUUGAAACAGAGGAUCUUUUCUUGUAUGCAAGCACUGAUAUUGAGG